This 143-nucleotide unclassified non-coding RNA is filed under the name uncultured Capnodiales. RNAcentral describes it as "sequence contains ITS2". The record is from RNAcentral. Lineage: Eukaryota; Fungi; Ascomycota; Dothideomycetes; Capnodiales.
CACCACUCAAGCCUCGCUUGGUAUUGGGCCCCGGGGGCGACCCGGGCCUCAAAGUGGCCGGCUGGAAAGCUCUGAUCUCAGCGUCGUGGUUUCAUCAAACUCGCUGGCGAGAAGGGCCCUCCGUGCCGUUAAACUCCAUUCAA